UGCAGUCGAGCGGAACGAUCCUAGCUUGCUAGGAGGCGUCGAGCGGCGGACGGGUGAGUAAUGCAUAGGAAUCUACCCAGUCGUGGGGGAUAACCUGAGGAAACUCAGGCUAAUACCGCAUACGUCCUACGGGAGAAAGCGGGGGCUCUUCGGACCUCGUGCGAUUGGAUGAGCCUAUGUCGGAUUAGCUAGUUGGUAAGGUAACGGCUUACCAAGGCGACGAUCCGUAGCUGGUCUGAGAGGAUGAUCAGCCACACCGGGACUGAGACACGGCCCGGACUCCUACGGGAGGCAGCAGUGGGGAAUAUUGGACAAUGGGCGAAAGCCUGAUCCAGCCAUGCCGCGUGUGUGAAGAAGGCUUUCGGGUUGUAAAGCACUUUCAGCGAGGAAGAAAGCGUGCCGUUUAAUACACGGUACGGACGACAUCACUCGCAGAAGAAGCACCGGCUAACUCCGUGCCAGCAGCCGCGGUAAUACGGAGGGUGCAAGCGUUAAUCGGAAUUACUGGGCGUAAAGCGCGCGUAGGCGGCGUGUCACGCCGGGUGUGAAAGCCCCGGGCUCAACCUGGGAACGGCAUCCGGAACGGGCAGGCUAGAGUGCAGGAGAGGAAGGUAGAAUUCCCGGUGUAGCGGUGAAAUGCGUAGAGAUCGGGAGGAAUACCAGUGGCGAAGGCGGCCUUCUGGACUGACACUGACGCUGAGGUGCGAAAGCGUGGGUAGCAAACAGGAUUAGAUACCCUGGUAGUCCACGCCGUAAACGAUGUCGACUAGCCGUUGGGUCC
Molecule: ribosomal RNA, 781 nt
Filed under: Chromohalobacter canadensis
Lineage: Bacteria; Pseudomonadati; Pseudomonadota; Gammaproteobacteria; Oceanospirillales; Halomonadaceae
Description: bacterial SSU rRNA
Rfam family: Bacterial small subunit ribosomal RNA
Source: RNAcentral